Molecule: long non-coding RNA, 218 nt
Filed under: Musa acuminata (dwarf banana)
Lineage: Eukaryota; Viridiplantae; Streptophyta; Magnoliopsida; Zingiberales; Musaceae
Description: long non-coding RNA (MACU_LNC010815)
Source: RNAcentral
GAAAAACUUACUCCGAAUUCCUAAAAUAAGCUAUCAAAAGAAAGGUUUAUGGGUCUAUAUUCUGAUCAAAUAAGUUUUGUCUAAAUCAGAGAUCAAUACAUGAAGUUAUAACUAUAACAAGGUAGAAAGGUCAGAAUAUCAGAAGUUACACAGAUUCGAAUCGUUACGUCUAAACAGGAGAUAUAUCAAAUGCAAGGCUAGAACAAUUCAAAGUUCCU